AUUUAAAUAGUUUUAAUUAAAAUUUUGGUUUGUGGUACCAAAGAUAUAAAAAGUUUUAUUUUAAAUC
This 67-nucleotide transfer RNA is filed under the name Cherax setosus. RNAcentral's name for it is "tRNA-His". The record is from RNAcentral. Lineage: Eukaryota; Metazoa; Arthropoda; Malacostraca; Decapoda; Parastacidae.